This 1467-nucleotide long non-coding RNA is filed under the name Homo sapiens (human). RNAcentral's name for it is "HSALNT0155322". The record is from RNAcentral. Lineage: Eukaryota; Metazoa; Chordata; Mammalia; Primates; Hominidae.
CUGGAAUCUCAGCUCUGCCACUCACCUGCUUCGUGUGAGCUCGGACAGGCCUGACCUCGCAGAGCCUCAGCUUCAUCUGUAGAACCAUGGGAACAAUAAUGCAGUCAUGCGCCAGAGAAGGACGCUUCGGUCAUCAAGGGACUGCAUGUACGACAGUGGUCCCAUAAGAUCACAACGCCGUAUUUCUCCUGUACCGGUUCUAUGUGUAGAUACACAAAUACUUCCCACUGUGCCACGGUUGCCUACAGCAUUCGGUCCAAAGACAGGCGGCACCUGAGUGUAGCCCAGGGGCAAGAGCCAGGUGUGUAGGGGCCGCACCAUCUCGGCUGGCGUAAAUCCACUCUAUGCUCUUCGCAGCUGAUGCAUUUCUCAGAAUGCAUCCCUGUUGUUAAGGACACAGGACUGUCCUGCCACCCCACAGGGCUGAUUUGCUGAGGGUCACAGGAGAGAUUCUCACGGCUGGCCCAGAGCAUGAGCUCCAGGGCCCUCACUGUUGUCAUCUGCACAAGUGUUAAGUGCCACGUCCCCGCUGGGCCCGGUAGGCAGUGGUGGGCGGUGACUGAAGGAUCCAGUCUAGACAGACAACCAUGUUAAUUCGCAGAGCUCAGGCCAGGACAGUGGGGCGGUGAGGGCCUUGGUUUCUGGGGUUUACGGUGGGGUUGGAGGCUGGGUCUCCAAGGGCCUCUUUCCCUGGUGUGUGAUUUUUCAAAGAAUCCAGGACAGAGUUAAACAGGCAGGUGCAGUCCCUGAGGACAGAUGGCAGGAUGUGGCUGGGGGGUUCAGAGGAGAGCUGGGGGCUGGGUGGAGUGAGAGGGGCAGAGCUCUCGGGAUGAGUGGGUGGUGCUGGGAGACGAGCAGGGUCAGAGAUCUGGAGAGGGGCGGAAAGAGGUUGCAGGCCUGGUUCAGCUGCCCCAAUUCCACAUAAAAACAGUCAGGGCUCGGUCCUCGGCCUCAGUUUCCCCCUCUGUAAACGUGGAAAUGGUCCCUCCCUGUGGUGGCGCGGGGGACGGGGCCUCAGCUCCCCGGGCUCAGGAGAUACCGCCUGGACCCGGGCAGCUUAAACACCCCUUCCCCUUCCACGAGGACCGAGUCCGAGGCCUGAGCCGGGCCGGGCUGUCUGCUGCAGGGCGGCGUCGAGACUUGGGGUGGGAGCCCCCGGAGGAGGAAGAGACGAACCGGGAGCCAGAGGGAGCCGGGUACACCGCGGGACUCACGGGGCGCCCCGGGGCCGGGAAUCUAGCUACGGAAUCCGGUCGGUAGGUGGCGCCGCGAGGCUGCAGUUGGGUUUCCGUCGCCCAGGCCGAGGGUGGUGCGGAGCCGGGACCCGCGGGGCUUCAGCGUCCCCCGUGGCCGUUCCCACCGCCGUCGGUCCGCGGAGAUCCCAGGUGUUUUUAGGGCACCCAGGUUCACACCCCGUUGGGCCAAGACCGAGAGCGACGCGCGGGCACCGGACGGGGUGCGAACCCG